RNAcentral lists this ribosomal RNA (1528 nucleotides) under Bacillus cereus. Its description in RNAcentral is "partial 23S ribosomal RNA". It matches the Rfam family "Bacterial large subunit ribosomal RNA", at positions 1 to 1529 of the family's 2925-position model. Lineage: Bacteria; Bacillati; Bacillota; Bacilli; Caryophanales; Bacillaceae. The record is from RNAcentral.
UUAGAAAGGGCGCACGGUGGAUGCCUUGACACUAGGAGUCGAUGAAGGACGGGACUAACGCCGAUAUGCUUCGGGGAGCUGUAAGUAAGCUUUGAUCCGAAGAUUUCCGAAUGGGGAAACCCACUAUACGUAAUGGUAUGGUAUCCUUACCUGAAUACAUAGGGUAUGGAAGACAGACCCAGGGAACUGAAACAUCUAAGUACCUGGAGGAAGAGAAAGCAAAUGCGAUUUCCUGAGUAGCGGCGAGCGAAACGGAACAUAGCCCAAACCAAGAGGCUUGCCUCUUGGGGUUGUAGGACAUUCUAUACGGAGUUACAAAGGAACGAGGUAGACGAAGCGACCUGGAAAGGUCCGUCGUAGAGGGUAACAACCCCGUAGUCGAAACUUCGUUCUCUCUUGAAUGUAUCCUGAGUACGGCGGAACACGUGAAAUUCCGUCGGAAUCUGGGAGGACCAUCUCCCAAGGCUAAAUACUCCCUAGUGAUCGAUAGUGAACCAGUACCGUGAGGGAAAGGUGAAAAGCACCCCGGAAGGGGAGUGAAAGAGAUCCUGAAACCGUGUGCCUACAAAUAGUCAGAGCCCGUUAAUGGGUGAUGGCGUGCCUUUUGUAGAAUGAACCGGCGAGUUACGAUCCCGUGCAAGGUUAAGCUGAAGAGGCGGAGCCGCAGCGAAAGCGAGUCUGAAUAGGGCGUUUAGUACGUGGUCGUAGACCCGAAACCAGGUGAUCUACCCAUGUCCAGGGUGAAGUUCAGGUAACACUGAAUGGAGGCCCGAACCCACGCACGUUGAAAAGUGCGGGGAUGAGGUGUGGGUAGCGGAGAAAUUCCAAUCGAACCUGGAGAUAGCUGGUUCUCCCCGAAAUAGCUUUAGGGCUAGCCUUAAGUGUAAGAGUCUUGGAGGUAGAGCACUGAUUGAACUAGGGGUCCUCAUCGGAUUACCGAAUUCAGUCAAACUCCGAAUGCCAAUGACUUAUCCUUAGGAGUCAGACUGCGAGUGAUAAGAUCCGUAGUCAAGAGGGAAACAGCCCAGAUCGCCAGCUAAGGUCCCAAAGUGUGUAUUAAGUGGAAAAGGAUGUGGAGUUGCUUAGACAACUAGGAUGUUGGCUUAGAAGCAGCCACCAUUUAAAGAGUGCGUAAUAGCUCACUAGUCGAGUGACUCUGCGCCGAAAAUGUACCGGGGCUAAAUACACCACCGAAGCUGCGAAUUGAUACCAAUGGUAUCAGUGGUAGGGGAGCGUUCUAAGUGCAGUGAAGUCAGACCGGAAGGACUGGUGGAGCGCUUAGAAGUGAGAAUGCCGGUAUGAGUAGCGAAAGACGGGUGAGAAUCCCGUCCACCGAAUGCCUAAGGUUUCCUGAGGAAGGCUCGUCCGCUCAGGGUUAGUCAGGACCUAAGCCGAGGCCGACAGGCGUAGGCGAUGGACAACAGGUUGAUAUUCCUGUACCACCUCUUUAUCGUUUGAGCAAUGGAGGGACGCAGAAGGAUAGAAGAAGCGUGCGAUUGGUUGUGCACGUCCAAGCAGUUAGGCUGAU